Molecule: transfer RNA, 70 nt
Filed under: Dipodomys ordii (Ord's kangaroo rat)
Lineage: Eukaryota; Metazoa; Chordata; Mammalia; Rodentia; Heteromyidae
Rfam family: tRNA
About the family: Transfer RNA (tRNA) molecules are approximately 80 nucleotides in length. Their secondary structure includes four short double-helical elements and three loops (D, anti-codon, and T loops).
Source: Rfam by way of RNAcentral
GGGGAUAUAGCUUAGUGGUAGAGUGCUUGCCUGGCAUACAUGAAGCCCUGAGUUCAAUUCCUCAGUACCA